Molecule: ribosomal RNA, 403 nt
Filed under: uncultured bacterium
Lineage: Bacteria
Description: partial 16S ribosomal RNA
Rfam family: Bacterial small subunit ribosomal RNA
Source: RNAcentral
GACGAACGCUGGCGGCGUGCCUAAUACAUGCAAGUCGAACGCAGUGGGGACGGGUGAGUAACACGUGGGUAACCUCCCAUCAGAGGGGAUAACACUUGGAAACAGGUGCUAAACCGAUACUGAUGGAUGGACCCGCGGUGCAUUAGCUAGUUGGUGGGGUAACGGCUCACCAAGGCAAAGAGGCAUAGCGGACGUGUGAGUGUGACUGGCCACACUGGGACUGAGACACGGCCCAGACUCCUACGGGGGGCAGCAGUGGGGAAGCUUGGGCAAUGGACGAAAGUCUGACCGAGAAACCCCGCGUGAGUGAAGAAGGUUUUCGGAUCGUACAGCUCUGUUGUUAGAGAAGCGGUAUCUAACCAGAAAGCCACGGCUAACUACGUGCCAGCAGCCGCGGUAAUAC